GGGGAUGGCUCAGUGGUAGAGCACAUGCUUAGCAUGCAUGAGGUCCUGGGUCCAACCCCCAGCACCUCCA
This 70-nucleotide transfer RNA is filed under the name Camelus bactrianus (Bactrian camel). It matches the Rfam family "tRNA". From Rfam's summary of the family: Transfer RNA (tRNA) molecules are approximately 80 nucleotides in length. Their secondary structure includes four short double-helical elements and three loops (D, anti-codon, and T loops). Further hydrogen bonds mediate the characteristic L-shaped molecular structure. tRNAs have two regions of fundamental functional importance: the anti-codon, which is responsible for specific mRNA codon recognition, and the 3' end, to which the tRNAs corresponding amino acid is attached (by aminoacyl-tRNA synthetases). tRNAs cope with the degeneracy of the genetic code in two manners: having more than one tRNA (with a specific anti-codon) for a particular amino acid; and 'wobble' base-pairing, i.e. permitting non-standard base-pairing at the 3rd anti-codon position. Lineage: Eukaryota; Metazoa; Chordata; Mammalia; Artiodactyla; Camelidae. RNAcentral also lists the same sequence under 1 other name. The record is from Rfam by way of RNAcentral.